RNAcentral lists this ribosomal RNA (792 nucleotides) under uncultured eukaryote. RNAcentral's name for it is "SSU rRNA". It matches the Rfam family "Eukaryotic small subunit ribosomal RNA", at positions 62 to 864 of the family's 1831-position model. The record is from RNAcentral.
AGUAUAAGCAACUAUACGGUGAAACUGCGAAUGGCUCAUUAAAUCAGUUAUCGUUUAUUUGAUAGUACCUUACUACAUGGAUAACCGUGGUAAUUCUAGAGCUAAUACAUGCUAAAAACCCCGACUUCGGAAGGGGUGUAUUUAUUAGAUAAAAAACCAAUGCCCUUCGGGGCUCCUUGGUGAAUCAUAAUAACUUAACGAAUCGCAUGGCCUUGCGCCGGCGAUGGUUCAUUCAAAUUUCUGCCCUAUCAACUUUCGAUGGUAGGAUAGUGGCCUACCAUGGUAUCAACGGGUAACGGGGAAUUAGGGUUCGACUCCGGAGAGGGAGCCUGAGAAACGGCUACCACAUCCAAGGAAGGCAGCAGGCGCGCAAAUUACCCAAUCCCGACACGGGGAGGUAGUGACAAUAAAUACUGAUACAGGGCUCUUUUGGGUCUUGUAAUUGGAAUGAGUACAAUUUAAAUCCCUUAACGAGGAACAAUUGGAGGGCAAGUCUGGUGCCAGCAGCCGCGGUAAUUCCAGCUCCAAUAGCGUAUAUUAAAGUUGUUGCAGUUAAAAAGCUCGUAGUUGAACCUUGGGCCUGGCUGGCCGGUCCGCCUCACCGCGUGUACUGGUCCGGCCGGGCCUUUCCUUCUGGGGAACCUCAUGCCCUUCACUGGGCGUGCUGGGGAACCAGGACUUUUACUUUGAAAAAAUUAGAGUGUUCAAAGCAGGCCUUUGCUCGAAUACAUUAGCAUGGAAUAAUAGAAUAGGACGUGUGGUUCUAUUUUGUUGGUUUCUAGGACCGCCGUA